CCAUGAAACUCUCCAGGCAGGAGGAGGGCAGCCUCUGCCUAGACCAUAGACUGGCCGAGACAGAGCUUGGAAAGCCAGGAUACACUUUUCCUGAAGCCUCUUAAUUUUUCCCAUCCCUCCCUGAUUGAAAACACCAUUUAUCCCAUUACAGCAUGUGGAAAGAGAGGGGAGAGAAGCAGACAGAUCUGAACUCAGGAUAAAAAUUACUUUAUGGGGUUAUUAUUUUCAUCCAUAACAGAUGGCCAUCUUCAGGUCGUUGUAGCUGAUUCCACGGCAGACUCGGAGAAAUACAAAGUGCCGUCUUCAUGAUAUUUAUCGUGAGGGCUCCCCUGAGGAGACCCAUGUACCUCCAUGUAAUAACUGGAGAGCUGCCACUUGAGCAUUUUCUUGGAAAUGUCUGGACAUUUGCUAGAGACCAGUUACCCAUUAUUUCACCGGCUGCAUGUGAAGAAUUCCCCUCUCUCACUUACAACUGUGGUCGACGGCUGCUGCUUGCGAGGCACAGCGCCCGCACGAGCUCCUAAGUACCCGCCCCGGCCCCCUGCGCCAUCUUGGAUUGGGAGCGCUCGGUGAAAUUUGAAGAUGACCCAUCCUUCAAAGAGCACAAAAACACAACCGUUUGGGAUGCAAGUAGAUGCUCGAGUAGCAAAGGCUUUGAGAAGGCUACAGCACCCUAGCUGCUGACCUCAGCAAUCUGCUUAUUAUUACGCAGCUGCAUCCAUCUGUGGCGCUGCUGGCGGAGUAUCAUUUCCACUUUAUGUAAAGAAUGUGGACUCGGUGCUGUGUCUACUGAGCUAAUGAGUCAGAUUUGGACUAGUCCGUUAGCCGUGCCUACACAGGAAUGAGGUGAUUCCAGUCUACAGACAACUUCCAGGGAUUUGGAUUAAAAAAAAAAACAAUUAUAAUAACUUGACUCACUCUCAGUGUAACCUCGUCAGAAAGAGACAGAGACCUUGUGAACAGAGAGAAGGGAACACCAUCCUUCUCAUGGCUCCAGUUGCAGUAGCUCAGGGAAGAACUAAAAGAGUUACUGGUCCUCUCCAGACACGGCAGAGAUGGGAAAUAAUCUAGAGGUCCCUCUAGUAUGUCUAGAAGAAAGGGUACCAGUCCGUUCACAAGGUCUACCCUCUGUGGCACUUACUGAAUGCUCUCUUUGUACCAGGCGUGCGUUCUUUCUCACCGGCUUCUCCAGAAAUGAGAGCAUAUAUACAUCAAGUAGCCAUAGGUGCACAGCCAGUGGCCCCCCGAAGAGCACAGAGCAGCCUGGUGUAAGGGAGAACACUAGGUCACAAACAGGAAUGAAAUACUGGACCUCACAGCAGGCUGGGGUCUUUUCUGUCCCCAACCAUCAAGAACACAUACAGAUAGUGAAAAUAAGCCUCUCCACCCACGUGCCCAGCCCCAUCCAGUUUUUUCCAGCCCAGCAUGGAUUCAGGCACUAGGGUAUUCUUAGAUGAAGUGUGGAAUUCCCCUUUAAGAAAAAGAAUACUGAAAGAA
Mastomys coucha (southern multimammate mouse) is the source of this 1497-nucleotide long non-coding RNA. RefSeq lists it as uncharacterized. The record is from RefSeq and is a predicted model, not a curated record. The transcript has 3 exons. NCBI's taxonomy places the organism in Eukaryota, Metazoa, Chordata, Mammalia, Rodentia, Muridae.